Molecule: ribosomal RNA, 390 nt
Filed under: uncultured bacterium
Lineage: Bacteria
Description: bacterial SSU rRNA
Rfam family: Bacterial small subunit ribosomal RNA
Source: RNAcentral
AUUGAACGCUGGCGGCAUGCUUUACACAUGCAAGUCGAACGGCAGCACGGGUGCUUGCACCUGGUGGCGAGUGGCGAACGGGUGAGUAAUGCAUCGGAACGUGCCCAUGAGUGGGGGACAGCCCGGCGAAAGCCGGAUUAAUACCGCAUACGCCCUUAGGGGGAAAGCGGGGGAUCUUCGGACCUCGCGCUAUUGGAGCGGCCGAUGUCGGAUUAGCUAGUAGGUGAGGUAAAGGCUCACCCUAGGCGACGAUCCGUAGCUGGUCUGAGAGGAUGAUCAGCCACACUGGGACUGAGACACGGCCCAGACUCCUACGGGAGGCAGCAGUGGGGAAUUUUGGACAAUGGGCGCAAGCCUGAUCCAGCCAUGCCGCGUGAGUGAAGAAGGCCU